UGGGGAAUAUUGGACAAUGGGCGCAAGCCUGAUCCAGCCAUGCCGCGUGAGUGAGGAAGGCCCUAGGGUUGUAAAGCUCUUUCACCGGUGAAGAUAAUGACGGUAACCGGAGAAGAAGCCCCGGCUAACUUCGUGCCAGCAGCCGCGGUAAUACGAAGGGGGCUAGCGUUGUUCGGAUUUACUGGGCGUAAAGCGCACGUAGGCGGACUAUUAAGUCAGGGGUGAAAUCCCGGGGCUCAACCCCGGAACUGCCUUUGUUACUGGUAGUCUUGAGUUCGAGAGAGGUGAGUGGAAUUCCGAGUGUAGAGGUGAAAUUCGUAGAUAUUCGGAGGAACACCAGUGGCGAAGGCGGCUCACUGGCUCGAUACUGACGCUGAGGUGCGAAAGCGUGGGGAGCAAACAGG
Molecule: ribosomal RNA, 404 nt
Filed under: Actinomycetes bacterium
Lineage: Bacteria; Bacillati; Actinomycetota; Actinomycetes
Description: Actinobacteria bacterium partial 16S ribosomal RNA
Rfam family: Bacterial small subunit ribosomal RNA
Source: RNAcentral